UGUGGCUAUAUUAUGAAGUAGUGAAGUUACCUUCCAACAUUCACAUUGAUCUCUUGAGUUUCAUUUUCAUAAUUAUUAUUAGAUAUACAAGUCAGGAGCUUGUAAUUGAGUGGUUGUUAUUUUUGUUGUUUCUAAUUUUUGUUUUUCUUUUAUUGAUUUUGUUUGUUUGUUCUAAUGUUGUGAAGUAACAUUACUGUCACAGGUUAGGGGGAGGGUUUGGCAACAACAAGCUAUAUAUAUAUAAGUUUUACAUGGCCACAUUCUGUAUGUGUCUGUCCCAAGUCUGGAGUACAGUACUACUAUAUUUGGAAGAAAUAUAGCUAAUCAUAAAAUAUU
RNAcentral lists this long non-coding RNA (336 nucleotides) under Mytilus galloprovincialis (Mediterranean mussel). Lineage: Eukaryota; Metazoa; Mollusca; Bivalvia; Mytilida; Mytilidae. The record is from RNAcentral.